AAAAAAAAAUGUCUAAAUUUGCAAUCUAUUGUAUAAGGGGAACUACUUUAAAAACUAUGCUGCCUAACACUAAAACACCUGUGUCAGUAUACUCACUAUAGCUCUUUGUGAGACAUUGGUAGAUACAAAAGAAUUAAAAAUUGAAAUAGAUUCUGGAAACAAUAGAGUACACGUAUUACACUAUUAACAGUGGUGAAUCCAAAGGGGUGGGGGUCUGGAUUUUUUGGAUAAUCAAUGCAUUUGAAUGGGAACAUAGAGUUGGAACCCCCUUUUUCCUUGGUUGGAAAUGGCUAAAAUCACCCCUGAUGUAUAAGGAGGUUGAAGAUGUUUCUCAAUUUAUAAAAGUAAUGAAUCUUUGCAUAAUAAAAUGAUAAGAUAUUGAUUUAAGAUCAUGGAAACUGCUGAAAAUUAUAACUUGUUUUUUAUUCAUAUAUUAUGCAGCUUGCUGUUCUAUUAAUUAAAAAUCAUUGGCAUUGAAGAGGGUUCUCCACAUCUAUAUUUACAGGGGCCUUUUUUGCCUAAGUAGUCCACUAUAUGUAUCACUAACAUGCACAGUGCAGUCAUCAAUGAGAUUGUGAGUUGGAGUCUCACAUGAAGCAGGUGAAUUUACACUAAUCUUAAUUGACCUGGAAUAUUAGUUUUCUACCGAAACUCAGUGGUCCUGUCCUCUCUUGGCACUCCAAUUUCCUCUGCCAAUAAAAGUUAUCGCCACAAAAUAGCAUAAUAGUGUUGAAAUUUUACAUUAAACGCCAAUCAAUCAAUCAAUCAAUCAAUCCACACCUGCAUUAGUAUUCAUUUUUUUAAAAAUCAUAUUGUUAUUUUAUGUUUACAUAAUUUUAUUUUGGAUGUAACACGUCUUCUGAUUGGAUGACGUUAUUUUGUUAUCAGCCCA
RNAcentral lists this long non-coding RNA (892 nucleotides) under Mytilus galloprovincialis (Mediterranean mussel). Lineage: Eukaryota; Metazoa; Mollusca; Bivalvia; Mytilida; Mytilidae. The record is from RNAcentral.